Molecule: unclassified non-coding RNA, 708 nt
Filed under: Hevea brasiliensis (rubber tree)
Lineage: Eukaryota; Viridiplantae; Streptophyta; Magnoliopsida; Malpighiales; Euphorbiaceae
Source: RNAcentral
ACUCAGAAGGUUGUCAAGAACUGGUAAGUUUUGUUCGACUCUUUUGGGCAAAUAAAUUAUGUUGUGGCUAAAGAUUUUCUUACAUGGAUUUUGACAUGAGUAUUAUAUAGUGUGGGUUUUAUACUCAUUAGACCAUUAUGUUACAAGAUUUCUGUAGAAUUUCCCAUUGAUUUUGGAAUGUCAAGGAUUGUGGUCAAAACUGUUUUGUUCAGCUAGGUGAUGAAAAGGGUAUGCAUGUACCUACUCGCUGGCAGACAUUUUGCUGUUAUUUUGUGGUUUAUAGCAGUUGCAAAAUUUUUAUAAAUGCAAUUUGGUUAUAGAAGUCUCAGUUUCUUGAGUUUACGUGACUGUUGCACCAUAUGGGAGGCUCAUAAAUGAUAUUUGCAUAUGCCACACUUCCAAUAUAAAAGUUCUUUAAACAACACCAUGGUAACGAAAACUUGUCAUGGUUUAUUUGACUUAUAGCAGCUCUCAUGCUAUAUUUUAUUUUUUCGUUCUAACACAUUAUGGUCAACAAUGCUGUAGUAUUGACCAGAAAAAGGACUUCAACUGCAGGUUGUAUGUUUAAGUGCCAAGUGAAUUGAAAUGUUUUUUUUAUUUUUUCCAUUAGUUAGGUCUUUUAUAUGAUUGAGUGCGUCCAUCUGUAAAGAUCUGGUACAAGUGAUAUCAUGAUUUAUAUUUGCAGGCAGUUGUUCUUGUGUGUGGCUG